GGCUGGAGGGUGUCCAGAGAAGGGAGCAGAGCUGGAGAAGAGUCAGGAGCACAGGUCUGAUGAGGACCAGCUGAGGGAGUUUUCCAACCUGAAUGAUUCUGUGAUUCUAUGAUCCUGUCACUUCACCAUCUUGUGUCUACUUCAGCUGUGGAUCCAAGCAAGGCUCCUGUAACAUUCCAACCAACUCCCUGCCUAUGACAUCAGCAGCUUUUUCUUUUACAAGCUCUUCAUUCUUUUCAAGUGUGUCUGCACCAGAGCAGCUCAAGAGAUGUCCCAAGACCAUGUUAUCCAGCUCUGGGUACUCCACUACUUCAGGGAACCUUCCUGGCCACCUGUAGAGCCAAAUGAACCUGCCGUGCCACCUCUGUGCACACUGCAUUGCUCCCAGCUGCCCUUGCAACCACGGUAUCAGGCACUUUCAGGAACAGUUGCUCCCCGAAAUUACACCAUGUCCUCUGCUACCAGGGCAAAUGGGAUCAAUGGUCUUCAGAAAACACAUUGCUAUCUACUGUGCCUAUCCUUGAACUCUGGGCUCCCAGGAAGAUGGUUCUUCCCAGGUAUUUCUACACAAUUCAGAAGCAAGAAAGCUGGUUAUCAGUUCCCAACCACAGCAGUGGCAUCUUGUUCCCCUUGACCACAUCAUUUUACACAGGAAGAACCAGAGCACUGUCACCACCUCUCUGAGAGUGGGGCAAAAGGGCCUGCAGAGCUGCUGAGAUGAUUUUGUGUUUCUGCUCCCUCUUGGAGGCUCCAGGAGACAGAAAGAGGAGGUUGGUAACUGAGGUACAACUCUCUCCAGCCAAAGAAUGGAAGGCACAGACUGGAUGCUUAGGGAGUAGUAACACCAGCUCUAAAAAAAACUGUGAUUUCACCUAUGGAAGUGUGAAGUGACAUCCUGAUGAUCUCUGCCUGCAACUGGAAUAAAAGAAGCAGAUCUCAAUGUGCUUCAGAAAACUGCACCUUCCAGGUGAGGAGCAGCUGGACUGACCUCAGAGCUGCUGUGAAAGGGUCCCAGAGAUUCUCCAAAUGUCUAACAGUAAAAAAUUCAAUAUUUUUUUUAAAUGUUGGAUCUUAGGGAUUAUAUUAUUCUGUUACAGAUUUUUGUGGUUUGGGUUUUUAAAAAUCUUUUGUUGUUGUUGUUGUUGUUGUUGUUCUGGUGGUUGCUU
Long non-coding RNA from Passer domesticus (house sparrow), 1166 nucleotides. RefSeq lists it as uncharacterized. The record is from RefSeq and is a predicted model, not a curated record. Lineage: Eukaryota; Metazoa; Chordata; Aves; Passeriformes; Passeridae. The transcript is spliced from 5 exons.